RNAcentral lists this long non-coding RNA (1003 nucleotides) under Equus asinus (donkey). Its description in RNAcentral is "lncRNA (ENSEASG00005024104.1)". Lineage: Eukaryota; Metazoa; Chordata; Mammalia; Perissodactyla; Equidae. The record is from RNAcentral.
CUACAUAAAAAUUAUAAAUAGUAACUUACAAUCCUUUCCUCAUUGCAAGGGCCCAGAGAAAGAAGUUGUUAGAUAUGCAUUAAAAUUUAAUUACUAUCAAAUGCCCCAGAAUAUAUACAGAUGUUGUUGAAUGCUAUAAAAAAUAUUUGGAAAAUAAGCACUCGGUUGUAGAAUACCACUUUAACCACCAUCUAUUCCCAUCCUGGCGAACGGCAUUCAGCAAAUAGCAAAAAGGCCUUCAGUUUUUACUCAGUAAAAGCUUGCUCUACAGCAUUAUCUUCUGAAUUUAAUAUAUUUUUUCUGAAUGAUAGCUUUCCUCUGUCAUCCAAGCACAAAAAGCCUGUGGUAAUUGUCAUGGUGUCUGAUUCAUUGUCCAAAGUAUCUUCAUGGAUAGUGUUAAUCAAAUCUGGGAACGUUCACUUCCACAGCCGCCGGUGGCUCGGCAUUCUCAGGCUGCGGUCUUGGUAUCCAGCCUCUAACAGCAUCUCUUGCUGUGUUAAACAGCUAUUCAGUAUGUAUAGUUGUUGGUCUUGACCUUUUCCUCUUCUGGUAUUCAGAUUAACAGAAGGUAGAGUGGCUGAGAGGCCUCACUGAUGAAAUCUUUGUGCUUGAUUCUUAAUUCAGAAUAUGGUGGUAAUAAUAGUUCUUGGCUUAAGCACAAUCCGUUUUAAAAGUCCUGUAAUUGCUAAAUUAUAAUAAUCACAAUCAUGUGAGAUGACUGCCACGGAGGAGAUCAGGAAAUAUGCUUCUCUAUUUUAAAAAGAUGUCUAUUUAAUCCAUUUCAAAGCCUGCCUGCUUGAAGCGAUACACAGCCAGUAUUUCAAUUAUACAAUUUUUAAGAGGCUAUCGCUGCAAUCACUUACUUGGAAAUAAUGAGGACCUUCCCAUUCCAUCGCAUCCUGCCAUAUGAUAGUGUGUGCGCCAGUCCUUUGUGUCUACUGAGAAUCAGUCUCAGGAUAGCAGCAAAUUCGUUGAACCUGGUUAGGCACUGGCUUAAAAAACA